CGCAGCACGCCGCGUGAAUGAAGAAGGCCUUAGGGUUGUAAAGUUCUGUUUUCUGGGACGAUAAUGACGGUACCAGAGGAGGAAGCCACGGCUAACUACNUGCCAGCAGCCGCGGUAAUA
RNAcentral lists this ribosomal RNA (120 nucleotides) under uncultured Clostridium sp. RNAcentral's name for it is "partial 16S ribosomal RNA". It matches the Rfam family "Bacterial small subunit ribosomal RNA", at positions 387 to 525 of the family's 1533-position model. The record is from RNAcentral. Lineage: Bacteria; Bacillati; Bacillota; Clostridia; Eubacteriales; Clostridiaceae.